GAUGAACGCUGGCGGCGUGCUUAACACAUGCAAGUCGAACGAAGCACUCUAUUUGAUUUUCUUCGGAAAUGAAGAUUUUGUGACUGAGUGGCGGACGGGUGAGUAACGCGUGGGUAACCUGCCUCAUACAGGGGGAUAACAGUUGGAAACGACUGCUAAUACCGCAUAAGCCCACAGUAUUUCAUGAUACAGUGUGUAAGACUCCGGUGGUAUGAGAGGGACCCGCGGCUGAUUAGCUAGUUGGUGGGGCAACGGCCUACCAAGGCGACGAUCAGGAGCCGACCUGAGAGGGUGACCGGCCACAUUGGGACUGAGAAACGGACCAAACUCCUACAGGAGGCAGCAGUGGGGAAUAUUGCACAAUGGGGGAAUCCCUGAUGCAGCGACGCCGCGUGAACGAAGAAGUAUUUCGGUAUGUAAAGUUCUAUCAGCAGGGAAGAUAAUGACGGCACCUGACUAAGAAGCACCGGCUAAAUACGUGCCAGCAGCCGCCGUAA
This 497-nucleotide ribosomal RNA is filed under the name uncultured bacterium. RNAcentral's name for it is "partial 16S ribosomal RNA". It matches the Rfam family "Bacterial small subunit ribosomal RNA", at positions 28 to 523 of the family's 1533-position model. The record is from RNAcentral.